AAGGUGUCUCAGCUCAUGUGUCUUGGCUAAUGUGUCUUGGCUAAUGUGUCUUGGCUACUGUGUCUUGGCUAAUGUGUCUUGGCUAAUGUGUCUUGGCUAAUGUGUCUCGGCUAAUUUGUCUUGGCUAAGGUGUCUUGGCUAAUGUGUCUUGGCUAAUGUGUCUUGGCUAAUGUGUCUUGGCUAAGGUGUCUUGGCUAAGGUGUCUUGGCUAAGGUGUCUUGGCUAAUGUGUCUUGGCUAAUGUGUCUUGGCUAAGGUGUCUUGGCUAAGGUGUCUUGGCUAAUGUGUCUUGGCUUAUGUGUCUUGGCUAAGGUGUCUUGGCUAAUGUGUCUUGGCUAAUGUGUCUUGGCUAAUGUGUCUUGGCUAAUGUGUCUCGGCUCAUGUGUCUUGGCUAAGGUGUCUUGGCUAAGGUGUCUUGGCUAAGGUGUCUUGGCUAAGGUGUCUUUUCUAAGGUGUCUUGGCUAAGGUGUCUUGGCUAAUGUGUCUUGGCUAAUGUGUCUUGGCUAAUGUGUCUUGGCUAAUGUGUCUCGGCUAAUGUGUCUUGGCUAAGGUGUCUUGGCUAAUGUGUCUUGGCUAAUGUGUCUUGGCUAAGGUGUCUUGGCUAAGGUGUCUCGGCUAAUGUGUCUCGGCUAAUGUGUCUUGGCUAAGGUGUCUUGGCUAAGGUGUCUUGGCUAAUGUGUCUUGGCUAAUGUGUCUUGGCUAAGGUGUCUUGGCUAAGGUGUCUUGGCUAAGGUGUCUUGGCUAAGGUGUCUUGGCUAAUGUGUCUUGGCUAAGGUGUCUUGGCUAAUGUGUCUUGGCUAAUGUGUCUCGGCUAAUGUGUCUUGGCUAAUGUGUCUUGGCUAAUGUGUCUUGGCUAAUGUGUCUUGGCUAAGGUGUCUUGGCUAAGGUGUCUUGGCUAAUGUGUCUUGGCUAAGGUGUCUUGGCUAAGGUGUCUUGGCUAAGGUGUCUUGGCUAAUGUGUCUUGGCUAAUGUGUCUCGGCUAAUGUGUCUUGGCUAAUGUGUCUUGGCUAAUGUGUCUUGGCUAAUGUGUCUUGGCCAAGGUGUCUUGGCUAAGGUGUCUUGGCUAAUGUGUCU
Anopheles funestus (African malaria mosquito) is the source of this 1073-nucleotide long non-coding RNA. RefSeq lists it as uncharacterized. The transcript has 3 exons. The record is from RefSeq and is a predicted model, not a curated record. Lineage: Eukaryota; Metazoa; Arthropoda; Insecta; Diptera; Culicidae.